GCUCGAGUGGCGAACGGGUGAGUAACACGUGAGUAACCUGCCCUUGACUUUGGGAUAACUUCAGGAAACUGGGGCUAAUACCGGAUAGGAGCUCCUGCUGCAUGGUGGGGGUUGGAAAGUUUCGGCGGUUGGGGAUGGACUCGCGGCUUAUCAGCUUGUUGGUGGGGUAGUGGCUUACCAAGGCUUUGACGGGUAGCCGGCCUGAGAGGGUGACCGGCCACAUUGGGCUGAGAUACGGCCCAG
This 243-nucleotide ribosomal RNA is filed under the name uncultured Actinomycetales bacterium. RNAcentral's name for it is "partial 16S ribosomal RNA". It matches the Rfam family "Bacterial small subunit ribosomal RNA", at positions 89 to 334 of the family's 1533-position model. The record is from RNAcentral. Lineage: Bacteria; Bacillati; Actinomycetota; Actinomycetes; Actinomycetales.